GAUGAAGAACGUAGCGAAAUGCGAUAAGUAAUGUGAAUUGCAGAAUUCAGUGAAUCAUCGAAUCUUUGAACGCACAUUGCGCCCCUUGGUAUUCCGAGGGGCAUGCCUAUUCGAGCGUCAUUAUCACCCCUCAAGCCUAGCUUGGUGUUGAGGCCUGCUGUCAAGGCAGCCUCUAAAAUCAGUGGCAGUGCUGUCAGGCUCUAAGCGUAGUAAAUCUAAUCGCUAUAGACACCUGGUGGACACUAGCCAGAACCCCCCCAUUUUUUAAUGAUUGACCUCGGAUUAGGUAGGGAUACCCGCUGAACUUAAGCAUAUCAAUAAGCGGAGGA
RNAcentral lists this unclassified non-coding RNA (329 nucleotides) under soil metagenome. RNAcentral's name for it is "partial contains 5.8S ribosomal RNA, internal transcribed spacer 2, and large subunit ribosomal RNA". The stretch from base 1 to 120 matches the Rfam family "5.8S ribosomal RNA", at positions 35 to 154 of the family's 154-position model. The record is from RNAcentral.